GAUGAACGCUGGCGGCGUGCCUAAUACAUGCAAGUCGAGCGAACAGACGAGGAGCUUACUCCUCUGACGUUAGCGGCGGACGGGUGAGUAACACGUGGAUAACCUACCUAUAAGACUGGGAUAACUUCGGGAAACCGGAGCUAAUACCGGAUAACAUGUUGAACCGCAUGGUUCAACAGUGAAAGACGGUCUUGCUGUCACUUAUAGAUGGAUCCGCGUCGCAUUAGCUAGUUGGUAAGGUAACGGCUUACCAAGGCAACGAUGCGUAGCCGACCUGAGAGGGUGAUCGGCCACACUGGAACUGAGACACGGUCCAGACUCCUACGGGAGGCAGCAGUAGGGAAUCUUCCGCAAUGGGCGAAAGCCUGACGGAGCAACGCCGCGUGAGUGAAGAAGGUCUUCGGAUCGUAAAACUCUGUUAUUAGGGAAGAACAAAUGUGUAAGUAACUAUGCACGUCUUGACGGUACCUAAUCAGAAAGCCACGGCUAACUACGCG
Molecule: ribosomal RNA, 497 nt
Filed under: uncultured bacterium
Lineage: Bacteria
Description: partial 16S ribosomal RNA
Rfam family: Bacterial small subunit ribosomal RNA
Source: RNAcentral